GAUGAACGCUGGCGGCGUGCCUAAUACAUGCAAGUCGAGCGAACAGAUGAGGAGCUUGCUCCUCUGACGUUAGCGGCGGACGGGUGAGUAACACGUGGAUAACCUACCUAUAAGACUGGGAUAACUUCGGGAAACCGGAGCUAAUACCGGAUAAUAUAUUGAACCGCAUGGUUCAUAGUGAAAGACGGUUUUGCUGUCACUUAUAGAUGGAUCCGCGCCGCAUUAGCUAGUUGGUAAGGUAACGGCUUACCAAGGCAACGAUGCGUAGCCGACCUGAGAGGGUGAUCGGCCACACUGGAACUGAGACACGGUCCAGACUCCUACGGGAGGCAGCAGUAGGGAAUCUUCCGCAAUGGGCGAAAGCCUGACGGAGCAACGCCGCGUGAGUGAUGAAGGUCUUCGGAUCGUAAAACUCUGUUAUUAGGGAAGAACAAAUGUGUAAGUAACUAUGCACGUCUUGACGGUACCUAAUCAGAAAGCCACGGCUAACUACGUG
RNAcentral lists this ribosomal RNA (496 nucleotides) under uncultured bacterium. RNAcentral's name for it is "partial 16S ribosomal RNA". It matches the Rfam family "Bacterial small subunit ribosomal RNA", at positions 28 to 507 of the family's 1533-position model. The record is from RNAcentral.